RNAcentral lists this ribosomal RNA (253 nucleotides) under uncultured bacterium. RNAcentral describes it as "partial 16S ribosomal RNA". It matches the Rfam family "Bacterial small subunit ribosomal RNA", at positions 524 to 776 of the family's 1533-position model. The record is from RNAcentral.
GACGGAGGGGGCUAGCGUUGUUCGGAAUUACUGGGCGUAAAGAGUGCGUAGGCGGUUUAGUAAGUUGGAAGUGAAAGCCCGGGGCUUAACCUCGGAAUUGCUUUCAAAACUAUUAAUCUAGAGUGUAGUAGGGGAUGAUGGAAUUCCUAGUGUAGAGGUGAAAUUCUUAGAUAUUAGGAGGAACACCGGUGGCGAAGGCGGUCAUCUGGGCUACAACUGACGCUGAUGAACGAAAGCGUGGGGAGCAAACAGG